This 87-nucleotide transfer RNA is filed under the name Escherichia coli. RNAcentral's name for it is "tRNA-Leu". It matches the Rfam family "tRNA". From Rfam's summary of the family: Transfer RNA (tRNA) molecules are approximately 80 nucleotides in length. RNAcentral also lists the same sequence under 2 other names. Lineage: Bacteria; Pseudomonadati; Pseudomonadota; Gammaproteobacteria; Enterobacterales; Enterobacteriaceae. The record is from RNAcentral.
GCGAAGGUGGCGGAAUUGCUAGACGCGCUAGCUUCAGGUGUUAGUGUUCUUACGGACGUGGGGGUUCAAGUCCCCCCCCUCGCACCA